This 85-nucleotide transfer RNA is filed under the name Felis catus (domestic cat). It matches the Rfam family "tRNA". Rfam says of the family: Transfer RNA (tRNA) molecules are approximately 80 nucleotides in length. Their secondary structure includes four short double-helical elements and three loops (D, anti-codon, and T loops). The record is from Rfam by way of RNAcentral. Lineage: Eukaryota; Metazoa; Chordata; Mammalia; Carnivora; Felidae. RNAcentral also lists the same sequence under 2 other names.
GCCUGGGUGGCUCAGUUGGUUGAGUGUCUGACUUCAGCUCAGGUCAUGAUCUCACAGUUCAUGAGUUCAAGCCUCACAUCAGGCU